Molecule: long non-coding RNA, 707 nt
Filed under: Pan troglodytes (chimpanzee)
Lineage: Eukaryota; Metazoa; Chordata; Mammalia; Primates; Hominidae
Description: long non-coding RNA NONPTRT004011
Source: RNAcentral
CAAUAAUUAUUAAGUACUUUCUUAAUCUCAUUAAUGGAGCUUUCUUGGUUCUUGGACUUUUAUUCAUGGGAUUUGGUGCAUGGCUUUUAUUAGAUAGAAAUAAUUUUUUAACAGCUUUUGAUGAAAAUAAUCACUUCAUAGUAUCUAUUUCUAAAAUUUUGAUUGGAAUGGGAUCUUCUACUGUUCUUUUUUGUCUAUUGGGUUAUAUAGGAAUUCACAACGAAAUCAGAUGGCUCCUAAUUGUGUAUGCAGUAUUGAUAACAUGGACCUUUGCUGUUCAGGUUGUACUUUCAGCAUUCAUCAUCACAAAGAAAGAGGAGGUUCAGCAACUAUGGCAUGACAAAAUUGAUUUUGUCAUUUCUGAGUAUGGAUCUAAAGAUAAGCCUGAAGAUAUAACCAAGUGGACUAUUCUGAAUGCCUUACAGAAAACAGUAAGAUGAAAUUAACUAAAAAAUUAGAUGUCAGUGUUGACCACUGUGGGACAGAAGAGAGAAUAGGUCAGGGCAGGGGAUGGAGCAGAGGAAUGAGAGUUUGUUGUAUUUCUUUCAAACAAACUGGGCAAAAAGGGCAUUCUCCACACUUACAAAUCUUGAUUUAUAUCCUCCUUUUGUAACUCCUAUCUUCUUUUCUGUGUUAAUGGAUGUGCAUUUUAACUUAGUUUCACCUGGAAAAGUGCUGCUGGUCUUUUGCCAAGUGGGAUAGUCUAU